RNAcentral lists this transfer RNA (87 nucleotides) under Rheinheimera baltica. RNAcentral's name for it is "tRNA-Leu". It matches the Rfam family "tRNA". Rfam says of the family: Transfer RNA (tRNA) molecules are approximately 80 nucleotides in length. Their secondary structure includes four short double-helical elements and three loops (D, anti-codon, and T loops). The record is from RNAcentral. Lineage: Bacteria; Pseudomonadati; Pseudomonadota; Gammaproteobacteria; Chromatiales; Chromatiaceae.
GCCUGAGUGGCGAAAUCGGUAGACGCAGUGGAUUCAAAAUCCACCGUUAGAAAUAACGUGCCGGUUCGAGUCCGGCCUCAGGCACCA